UCCGGUGACGAUAGCGGAGUGGAUCCACCUGUUCCCAUCCCGAACACAGAAGUUAAGCACUCCCGCGGCGAAAAUAGUUGGGCCUGCCCCUGCGAACAUAGCACGUUGCCGGGU
RNAcentral lists this ribosomal RNA (114 nucleotides) under Catenisphaera adipataccumulans. The record is from RNAcentral. Lineage: Bacteria; Bacillati; Bacillota; Erysipelotrichia; Erysipelotrichales; Erysipelotrichaceae.